AGUAUUGUAUAUCUGUGGUUGCUAGGUACUGAAGGAAGGGCCUAGAGAUAGGUAGUUGUGCCAUAAGCUCUGGGAGGGGUUGUGGGAAAGGGUCUGCAGGAAGGUGGAGAUAGAAGAAGUACAGUGAGAUAUCUGCAGGAGCAGACCUUAACUGCUUGCUACGCUUCCCUAAAUUAGAACCAAGAGGAGCAGGAGGUCUAGGGUUUCUGUAGCUGCCUUCUGGGAAAGGGUGAAAAAGAGAAAGGGGGAGUAAAAGUGAAAGAAUUUUUCCCUUCUACUUAACACUAGAUUUGGUGCCCAUAUGAUGCAACAUUCUUUGUCCUCCUGUUGAUGUCUUUAUUCGAAGUGGUCUUGAAAAUGAGAGGGAGCCACAACCACGCCACUCCUCAUCAAGAAAUCUGGUUACGUGGUUAUUGAAGCUAGAGUUGCGGUGAUGUCCCUCAGAUUAAAGAGAAAUCAAUAGGUACUCUUGAAUGGCUUUUGAGAUAGCCAUAGAAAAAUGAGAAGUACAUAGAUGCGACGUAGAAAUCCAGAUGUAAACAGAGCAAUAAGGUUGUGCAUGCAGAAUAAAUAAUGCUAAUACAGAAUCUCUGAGUUAAGGACAAUAAAAUUAUUUGCCUUCUCUUUCUAUAUUUUGUGUGUUGGGGAUGGGGAGGGAAGAAUUCUGCUUAAAGUCUUGGACAGAAAUUCUGUAAGGC
Molecule: long non-coding RNA, 698 nt
Organism: Dermochelys coriacea (leatherback sea turtle)
Lineage: Eukaryota; Metazoa; Chordata; Testudines; Dermochelyidae
Exons: 4
Source: RefSeq, a predicted model, not a curated record